UCGUCCGUCGUGUGUGCGCGGGUGUUAAUUUCCUGAACCGAUGCUCAUUGAGCAAGGGCUUGGAACAUCGCUCGGUUGGUGUGAGCGUCUCGCGUCAGAUGAACCCGAAACCUUGCUGACCUCGCCCACCUGAACUUCGCUAAGGUUCGGGGAUGCGGCCCGCGGCGCACGGCGGACACC
This 180-nucleotide non-coding RNA is filed under the name Rubrivivax sp. RNAcentral's name for it is "6S RNA". It matches the Rfam family "6S / SsrS RNA". Rfam says of the family: E. coli 6S RNA was the first non coding RNA to be sequenced, but its function was unknown until recently. It consists of 184 nucleotides that fold into an extended hairpin structure with a large single-stranded internal bulge. The 6S RNA specifically associates with RNA polymerase holoenzyme containing the sigma70 specificity factor. Lineage: Bacteria; Pseudomonadati; Pseudomonadota; Betaproteobacteria; Burkholderiales; Sphaerotilaceae. The record is from RNAcentral.